Long non-coding RNA from Capsella rubella, 974 nucleotides. RefSeq lists it as uncharacterized. NCBI's taxonomy places the organism in Eukaryota, Viridiplantae, Streptophyta, Magnoliopsida, Brassicales, Brassicaceae. The record is from RefSeq and is a predicted model, not a curated record. The transcript is spliced from 2 exons.
AAAGCAAUCUUUUCAUCUUCUCCGACGGCCUCUCCAUUUUUGUCUGUUGAAGCAUUUGACCGACAUCAAAUUCAGGCAAUAUUGUUUACCACCACAUUGUUUUUAUUUUCUAACUAUUUAGUAGCAACUAUAUAUUAAGAUUCCUCUACUUAUUGGAAUAUGAUGAAUCAGGUCUGAACAUUGUUCAUACGGAUUAUUAGGGAAGGAAACAUCGAAUUGCCAAGCUGCGGAAUCGAUUGAUUGCAGAAUUUGUAUGGGAACCGAAUGAUCUUUGCGCAGUACGUUUGCAAGAGUAGGUGUGCUAUUGGAAGUGCAACAAUAAGGUGAGUUUGCUUAAAUCUAUUGCGCUUCAAUGGGAAUUGAUCUUUUUCCCAAACCGGGAUAGUUUUACAUUUGAAUGCCUUGGUACUGGAAAGUUAUAUUUCUUUAAGUAUUGUUUUGCUAGAACAAUAUGAUAGAAAUGACUUCUUAUUAAACUUGGAAUUAAGAGGGUACAUAUCAAUAUGGAAUAACAAAACAGAAAAUAUUUUAAGAUAUUGUGGUAAACACGAAAAUCUCUUCAAGCUUCCAAUAAACCCAUGGCCAAACAUGCAUCCUUGUAAGACUCAUACACCACACCAUCAAAAGUCCUCAACUCUUCAUCACUUCUAGGACCCUUCAGAAAACGGAAAAGUAAUUUCAAGCUCAUAUUACCAUCAAACUUACUUGGCAUAUAAGAUGUUCUUCUAUUCUUGAUUGUUCUCAUUCUUCUUCUGAAGGUUUUCUCUUUUGGCUGCCAAGUAAAAAACUGUGGUAUCUCUUCGAAAGUUAGGUUUCUAGCUUCUGCUGAAUCUCUGUUUAGUUUGAACCAUGCUUGGAUCAUUGUAUCUUUCUCAGCAGACAAAGUAAUACCAAGCAAACUCAAUAUCGAUGGCACAAAUUGUAGCAAGGACCCUAAAUUUUCCUUCCUGCAAUAUAAAUGUUUUCAUUCUAUA